Molecule: ribosomal RNA, 540 nt
Filed under: uncultured archaeon
Lineage: Archaea
Description: bacterial SSU rRNA
Rfam family: Archaeal small subunit ribosomal RNA
Source: RNAcentral
UCGCGAAAACUUUGCAAUACACGAAAGUGUGACAGGGCUAUCCCGAGUGCCAUCCGCUGAGGAAGGCUUUUACCCAGUCUAGAACGCUGGGGGGAAUAAGGAGAGGGCAAGUCUGGUGUCAGCCGCCGCGGUAAUACCAGCUCUCCGAGUGGUGUGGAUGUUUAUUGGGCCUAAAGCAUCCGUAGCUGGCUAAGUUAGUCCCUUGUUAAAUCCACCGAAUUAAUCGUUGGAUUGCGGGGGAUACUGCUUGGCUAGGGGACGAGAGAGGCAGACGGUAUUUCCGGGGUAGGGGUGAAAUCCUAUAAUCCCGGGAAGACCACCAGUGGCGAAGGCUGUCUGCUAGAACGCGCCCGACGGUGAGGGAUGAAAGCUGGGGGGAGCGAACCGGAUUAGAUACCCGGGUAGUCCCAGCUGUAAACGAUGCAGGCUAGGUGUUUGGACGGCCACGUGCCGUUCUAGUGCCGCAGGGAAGCUGUUAAGCCUGCCGCCUGGGGGAGUCGAUCGCAAGAUUGAAACUUAAAGGAAUUGGCGGGGGAGCCG